Molecule: ribosomal RNA, 305 nt
Filed under: uncultured bacterium
Lineage: Bacteria
Description: bacterial SSU rRNA
Rfam family: Bacterial small subunit ribosomal RNA
Source: RNAcentral
ACCGCAUACGCCCUUCGGGGGAAAGAUUUAUCGGAGAAGGAUCGGCCCGCGUUAGAUUAGAUAGUUGGUGGGUAACGGCCUACCAAGUCUACGAUCUAUAGCUGGUUUUUAGAGGAUGAUCAGCAACACUGGGACUGAGACACGGCCCAGACUCCUACGGGAGGCAGCAGUGGGGAAUCUUAGACAAUGGGCGCAAGCCUGAUCUAGCCAUGCCGCGUGUGUGAUGAAGGUCUUAGGAUCGUAAAGCACUUUCGCCAGGGAUGAUAAUGACAGUACCUGGUAAAGAAACCCCGGCUAACUCCGUG